UAACACGUGGACAAUCUGCCCUGCACAGGGGGACAACAGCUAGAAAUGGCUGCUAAUACCGCAUAAGCCUACAGCCUCGCAUGAGGGAGUAGGAAAAGAAAUUCGGUGCAGGAUGAGUCCGCGUCUGAUUAGCUAGUUGGAGGGGUAAGAGCCCACCAAGGCAACGAUCAGUAGCCGGCCUGAGAGGGCGACCGGCCACAUUGGGACUGAGACACGGCCCAAACUCCUACGGAAGGCAGCAG
This 242-nucleotide ribosomal RNA is filed under the name uncultured bacterium. RNAcentral's name for it is "partial 16S ribosomal RNA". It matches the Rfam family "Bacterial small subunit ribosomal RNA", at positions 111 to 354 of the family's 1533-position model. The record is from RNAcentral.